CAUCCAAAUAUCCAAUGCCCUAAAUCCUAAUCCCUAUUUCCCUUGGAAUCCCUAAUUCUGUCAUUUCCUCGGCAGACGGCAGCUCGUCUGAGAAUUCGACCAAUCCACAGGCACUGACGACGCACGACGCCCGGAACUUCUGCAUCGGCGACACUUCCGGUCACUCCUCAGACUCCACAGACGACGCUCUCCGUGCGGACCGACCUCAGUCCUCACAUCCUCUGGCUUGCUGAAGAACCUAAAGGUUCAACGUUCCUUAAAACAUAAAACUGAAGAGCUUACCAUGGAACAGUCGGGCAUCGACCUUCGAGUUGAGGAAGGAAUUAGAUCGCAGGAAAGUGAAAGUGCAGGAAGUGUUACAGGCUCCGUGGCUCCAGGUUCUGUUGAUGAAGGCAAAUCGAGUGAAAACAAUAAAGGAAAAGGAAGGCUAGGUAAAGUCACCAAAUCUUCUAAAUUUAAAAAGAAGCCAAAGGAAAACACAAAAGAUUUCUGUUGGGUGUGUAGCGGUCCACAUUUAAAAAAGGAUUGCAAAAUUUGGAAGGAAAAGAGGGCACAGCGAACUCAAAGCCAAGGUAAUAGUGAUCAUGGUCAUGGAAGUAGCCAAGAGAAGUAAGAAUGAUGAUUCAUGGUGGCUAGACCACCGGGGCAACAAGAUAUGUUUGCAAGGAUGUGCAUCUUUAUAAAGAAUUGAUGAAAGAUGGUCUAACAUUGUACAUGAGAAAUGAUUCCAUGGUGAAAGUCCAAGGCACUAGACAAGUUGAACUAGCUUCAAAUUAGUAUUUGAAGUGGAUAGAUUUAUUUUAUCCAAAGCUGGUGUAUUUGUUAGACAAAGGUUUCAUGUGUAAUAGUAUGUUGUAUGUUCAAAUUAAAUAUAAAUAAAUUUGUUUGUUCCGUUUA
Ipomoea triloba (trilobed morning glory) is the source of this 897-nucleotide long non-coding RNA. RefSeq lists it as uncharacterized. The transcript is spliced from 3 exons. The record is from RefSeq and is a predicted model, not a curated record. NCBI's taxonomy places the organism in Eukaryota, Viridiplantae, Streptophyta, Magnoliopsida, Solanales, Convolvulaceae.